Molecule: ribosomal RNA, 88 nt
Filed under: Clostridiales bacterium
Lineage: Bacteria; Bacillati; Bacillota; Clostridia; Eubacteriales
Description: partial 23S ribosomal RNA
Rfam family: Bacterial large subunit ribosomal RNA
Source: RNAcentral
CUUGAAGACUACAAGGUUGAUAGGUCGUAGGUGUAAGCAUGGCAACAUGUUUAGCUGAACGAUACUAAUUGGUCGAAGGCUUGUCCUC